RNAcentral lists this ribosomal RNA (513 nucleotides) under Triticum aestivum (bread wheat). RNAcentral's name for it is "partial small subunit ribosomal RNA". The record is from RNAcentral. Lineage: Eukaryota; Viridiplantae; Streptophyta; Magnoliopsida; Poales; Poaceae.
AUGGUGAAAAGGAUUUUCAACGUGCCAUCCGGUGAUAGACCCGUGAAGCUUCUAAAGAAGAGUGAUGAACAUGAUCUUCGCAGCAUCUACAAGGAGGGGAACAGGGCUCCAAUCGCCCAUGUUGUCAAGUUGCUCACUAGUUGCAGUGAGGAGGACGUGGUUAUGAUAAAUAGGACUUGGGCACUCCUUGCGUUGGCAACAGUUUUGUGCCCAGGCACGGGCAAUAUGGUGAAUCUCGAGUAUCUUGCUUCCCUCGAAGAUAUGUCUUUGGUGCAUGAAUUCGCUUGGGAUGAGCACUUGUUGACACGAGCUAUGGAGGAGGUUGGAGUCUUUCAAGAGAAGAAGAGGAUGCAAGCAAACGCAGAAAAAGAGUUUCAGAUUGCUUCAUGCCUUCCCAUGUUAGCGAUCAUAUACAUGGAUCAUGUUGAUAUCCCGGCUGGCCUCCCAAAUGAGCAUGCUAUUGAUUAUUCCGUGCCAAGGAUACGUUUUGUUUGCCAAAAGGAUUUUGAGUGA